This 515-nucleotide long non-coding RNA is filed under the name Helianthus annuus (common sunflower). RNAcentral describes it as "sRNA HanXRQr2_Chr06g0262591". Lineage: Eukaryota; Viridiplantae; Streptophyta; Magnoliopsida; Asterales; Asteraceae. The record is from RNAcentral.
UCUGUCACUUCAACAGACAUUUCUCUUCCCUCUUUCUAAAAACACAGACCUUCAAAAUUCAAAAGACCUUCAAAAAACACAAGCUUCAACCCCAAAACCCUAAUCCACCACCAUAUUCAUCUCCUCUAAUCCCCCCUCCUACCUAAUCUGUAGCCGCACAUCCUCCGACACCAUCGAUUUCAACUCAAGGCGGAGACACGGCGGCUUGUGGCAGGUCGCCCACUGUCUUCACCAUCUUCAUAGAUGGAAAACUCAAAUCUUCAUCAUCUUCACGGCAGGCCCCCCGUCGUUUCUCCGGCAGAAGCGCCCCCUCGUUUCUCCGGCGACCCAAACGCUCACGGAGUUGAUGAACGAUCUUGAUGUUGGUGGCGGUGACCGAUGGGUGAAGGGGUGGGGGUGGGUGAAGGGGGUGUGAACCGGUGAAUGAUGGAUGAAUAACGGUGGUUCGUUGCAAGGAAUACCCACAUCAGGUUGGUGUUUUAUUGGCUGUUGUUUUCGGUUACUCAAUUGGUUGU